CAGGUGGAGGCCGCCAUCGUGGACCGGAAAAGGUAGGCUCUUCCGGAUGACCAUUAUUCCAGUGAGGAUGGGGGGGGGGCACGUCAUCGACAGGAAGUGAGAGACCAGCAGGUGGGGCUGAUGCCUUUGGGGAAGAAGAAAGUGGAAGAGACAGCCCACCUGCGCCAUCUUUUUUAAGAGGCUUUUGUCCACCAUAUUUAGAGCACUCAGGGGCUCUACGCUCGCCAGUUUGGGCUGGAAACGCCUCAGACGCCUUUACGGCAUGAGGACCUUUUACUAAGGAGGCCUGUACCGGCCAUUCUUGACUCAUGACAUAACCCACAAUAGGGAUCCUUACCUGAAACUUCAGUAUUUACCUGGUAUACCUGAGGCCCCUGUUCAGGCACCAAUUGUUUUUGUCCACGAGCCCGCUCACGUAACAAGGUUCAGGGGCCCGGACUGGGAGGGCAAGGGCACGGAAUCACCACGCGGACUCCGAGGAGGUUUCUGGAACGCUUCCGUUUUAUGAGGAAAUGCACAGACUUAUACAGGGUGCAAAUAAUCUUCCUGGAUCUCCUCUCAGCUGUGUUAUUACUUGUGUGAGGUGUCAGGAACUAAUAAGGAAGCUGGAUAGAGGACAGAGCGUCACAAGCCUAGGAGACCCUUCUGGAUGCUAA
Molecule: long non-coding RNA, 656 nt
Filed under: Fukomys damarensis (Damara mole-rat)
Lineage: Eukaryota; Metazoa; Chordata; Mammalia; Rodentia; Bathyergidae
Description: lncRNA (ENSFDAG00000026288.1)
Source: RNAcentral